RNAcentral lists this ribosomal RNA (865 nucleotides) under uncultured bacterium. Its description in RNAcentral is "bacterial SSU rRNA". It matches the Rfam family "Bacterial small subunit ribosomal RNA", at positions 26 to 898 of the family's 1533-position model. The record is from RNAcentral.
AGGACGAACGCUGGCGGCGUGCCUAACACAUGCAAGUCGAACGGGGUCCAACCGGUGGCAACACUGGUGAAGACCUAGUGGCGAACGGGUGAGUAACACGUGAGCAACCUGCCUCGAAGACUGGGAUAACCCCGGGAAACCGGAGCUAAUACCGGAUAUCCCCACCGGGUCGCAUGGCCUGGUGAGGAAAUGGAUUCCGCUUUGAGAGGGGCUCGCGGCCUAUCAGCUUGAUGGUGGGGUAACGGCCUACCAUGGCACCGACGGGUAGCUGGUCUGAGAGGACGAUCAGCCACACUGGGACUGUGACACGGCCCAGACUCCUACGGGAGGCAGCAGUGGGGAAUCUUGCGCAAUGGGCGAAAGCCUGACGCAGCAACGCCGCGUGUGGGACGAAGGCCUUCUGGGUUGUAAACCACUUUCAGCAGGGACGAUUGUGACGGUACCUGCAGAAGAAGCCCCGGCCAACUACGUGCCAGCAGCCGCGGUAAUACGUAGGGGGCGAGCGUUGUCCGGAAUUAUUGGGCGUAAAGAGCUCGUAGGCGGCUUGGCUAGUCACGUGUGAAAUCUCCAGGCUCAACCUGGUGAUGCCACGUGAUACUGCCAUGGCUUGAGUCCGGUAGGGGACCAUGGAAUUCCUGGUGUAGCGGUGAAAUGCGCAGAUAUCAGGAGGAACACCAGGGGCGAAGGCGGUGGUCUGGGCCGGUACUGACGCUGAGGAGCGAAAGCGUGGGGAGCGAACAGGAUUAGAUACCCUGGUAGUCCUAGCCCUAAACCAUGAUUGCUUGGUGUGACGGGUACCCAAUCCCGCCGUGCCGUAGCUAACGCGUUAAGCAAUCCGCCUGGGGAGUACGGUCGCAAGGCUGAA